RNAcentral lists this unclassified non-coding RNA (273 nucleotides) under uncultured fungus. RNAcentral's name for it is "sequence contains ITS1". The stretch from base 1 to 121 matches the Rfam family "5.8S ribosomal RNA", at positions 49 to 154 of the family's 154-position model. The record is from RNAcentral. Lineage: Eukaryota; Fungi.
UGAAAGGCGAAACGUAAUGUGAAUCGCAACUAACAGUGAAUCAUCGAAUUUUUGAACGCAUACCGCACUCCCUAACCAUUUUCUUUUGAAAAUGGUAGCGAGUAUCCACGUAUGAGUGUCAGCCAAAUACUAUUUAUUUUGGUUCAUAAGGAAGGUUUUAUUACUAGAAUUGUGAAUUACACACUUUUUUUUUUAUAGUCUUUUAUUAGACAUAUAACAAGAAAUAAUAAAUACGUCUGGCCUCAUAUGUGGAAGAUUACCCGCUGGAUUUAA